This is a long non-coding RNA of Oncorhynchus tshawytscha (Chinook salmon), 1833 nucleotides long. NCBI's taxonomy places the organism in Eukaryota, Metazoa, Chordata, Actinopteri, Salmoniformes, Salmonidae. The record is from Ensembl.
GCCAGUCAGACACCUCGGGAGUUUUCUAGCCGAAACCAAACCGAAACAUUAGAGCUCUUGAGACGCUUUCAGUGUAUAUUAUUCACUGUGUUUUAAAACAAAUUUCGGUCGUAUAGAUAGUUACCCCCCCCCUCCAUUUAAUUUAAUAUGUACGUUACUAAUCAGCAAGCUGAAUAGCUAAAAUAGCCUAGCACUAGGCUAGUCGCACAUGUUAACUAGCUAUUGUAUUUAUUUCACCAGGUAGUUAGCUAACAUCCCCGAACAUGAGCUCACUAAACUUCUCUCCUCCUGUUAAAGAAGAGGAGGAUGUCUGCUGGACGAAGAAAGAGGGUCUGUGGCUGAACCAUGUCGUGAAAGAGGAGGAAGAAGCUCUGGUCAAAGAGGAGGAGGAAGAGGAGGCUGUUACCGUGAAACAAGAAGAGAAAGACGUUUCAGUUAAAGAAGAGGAAGACGCGUUCAGAGUGAAAGAGGAGGAGGAUGUUACAGUAAAAGAAGAGGAGAAAGAGGAGAUGGAAGUUACAGUGAAAGAAGAGGAAGACGAGUUCAGAGUGACAGAGGAAGAGGAGAAGGUUACUGAGGAGGAAGAGGAAGACGAGUUCAGAGUGACACAGGAGGAGGAGGAGGUUACUGAGGAGGAAGAGGAAGACGAGUUUAGAGUGACAGAGGAGGAGGUUACUGAGGAGGAAGAGGAAGUGGAUGCACCAUCGAGAGCAUCCUGUCGGGCUGUAUCACAGCUUGGUACGGCAACGGCACCGCCCACAACUGCCAGAGGGGGGCGCGGUCUGCCCAACGCAUCACCGGGGGCAAACUACCUGCCCUCCAGGACACCUACACCACCUGAUGUCACAGGAAGGCCAAAAAUAUCACCAAGGACAACAGCCACCCGAGACACUGUCUGUUCACCCCGCUAUCAUCCAGAAGGCGAGGAUGCAGUGUUUGGAGUGAAGGAGGAGGAGGGAGAGAGAACUGAGAGAACUCCGGUGCGCUCUGCAGUGCGUUCCUGUCCGCUUUGCCCUAAGGUUGUGGUCGGCUUCAGUCAGCACCUGAGGCACACGCACAAUGUGAGGAACACGGAGGAGAGGAUCCUCCUUUGUAAUUGGCAGUCGGGCCGUGUCAACAUCAGGCAGGAGCCGUGCCCAGUGACAGGAUGCUCCACCCAUGCCAGCCGGCUGGACCGGCACAUGGAGUCGCACACAGAGCUCGACAGAUCGCAGAGGAGACGGGCUUUAGAGGAACUCAGGAGACGGCUGACCAUGGAGCGGCUGGCCACGUUGAGGGCGUCCAACCCUGUCGUCCCGCUGGCCACCCAUUUGGAUAUUGUGGAGUGGGAAACAAAGCAGGAAGAGGAGGACGACUCUUUAGAUUCACUGCUGUCUCCUUUGGAAGAGGAGGAGGAGGACGUGAGCUGCGGAGAUUAUUCCUGCCACUGCCAAGCGCCCAUCCUGAGGCUACGGAAAGCUUUGCAAGAGCGGGAUGAGGCCCUGACCAAGAGAAGUGCGACCAUCCAAUCCGUUAGAGAGGACAACCUGAAGCUGACCUCGGAACUGAAUAGAGCGAGGAAGAGGUAUCAGCUACUGAAAAGUCAGAAGACGACGAGUGUCAGGGCGAGGUCAGCGAACGCAAGGUCGGGGAAGACGAGGUCAGCGAAGAGGUCCAGAUUUCAGACCGAGCCGUCUCGUCCUGCGUCAGACACAGAACAAGAGGAGCUACAGCAGGACCAAGUCGUAGGUUCAGGAGCCCAGAUAGAGGAGGCCACGGCGCCCAAAUCUAGCAGCCAAACUCCCUUCCCGGGCUCUGCUCUGAGUGUGUUUAUAGAGGGGUUCAGGAAGAUCU